RNAcentral lists this ribosomal RNA (465 nucleotides) under Vreelandella stevensii. RNAcentral's name for it is "partial 16S ribosomal RNA". It matches the Rfam family "Bacterial small subunit ribosomal RNA", at positions 338 to 795 of the family's 1533-position model. The record is from RNAcentral. Lineage: Bacteria; Pseudomonadati; Pseudomonadota; Gammaproteobacteria; Oceanospirillales; Halomonadaceae.
CCUAUGGGUGGCAGCAGUGGGGAAUAUUGGACAAUGGGCGAAAGCCUGAUCCAGCCAUGCCGCGUGUGUGAAGAAGGCCUUCGGGUUGUAAAGCACUUUCAGUGGGGAAGAAAGCCUUGGGGCUAAUACCCUCGAGGAAGGACAUCACCCACAGAAGAAGCACCGGCUAACUCCGUGCCAGCAGCCGCGGUAAUACGGAGGGUGCGAGCGUUAAUCGGAAUUACUGGGCGUAAAGCGCGCGUAGGCGGUCUGAUAAGCCGGUUGUGAAAGCCCCGGGCUCAACCUGGGAACGGCAUCCGGAACUGUCAGGCUAGAGUGCAGGAGAGGAAGGUAGAAUUCCCGGUGUAGCGGUGAAAUGCGUAGAGAUCGGGAGGAAUACCAGUGGCGAAGGCGGCCUUCUGGACUGACACUGACGCUGAGGUGCGAAAGCGUGGGUAGCAAACAGGACUAGAUACCCGAGUAGUC